UUGAAGGUUUAAGCACGGCAUACCAUUACCCAACAAAGACUUCAAACUUACCCACAACCAGAAGUUCAGUAGAUGAGAAUAGAUGUUCCAAAAUGCAUGCAUUCUAGUUUCAAACACAAAAAAAAGGACGGAGAUGCAAAAACCUGUGCAUUUUGACUAAUGGGUAAGCUUAAAGUAAAGAAUCAAUAUGAUUGCAAUCACCAAGACUGCAAUGAUUGAUCCAAUGAUCCAUUUGUUCCGGCUCAUCCUUCUUGACAUGGUAGUCAGUAUCUUCUUGCUCCUACUAAUAUUGUCAUCCACUCCAUGAAGCUGUGAAAAAGUUAAGGAGCUUGUU
Molecule: long non-coding RNA, 334 nt
Organism: Ipomoea nil (Japanese morning glory)
Lineage: Eukaryota; Viridiplantae; Streptophyta; Magnoliopsida; Solanales; Convolvulaceae
Exons: 4
Source: RefSeq, a predicted model, not a curated record